AUUGAACGCUGGCGGCAGGCUUAACACAUGCAAGUCGAACGAGUGGCGGACGGGUGAGUAAUGCUUGGGAAUCUAGCUUAUGGCGGGGGAUAACUACGGGAAACUGUAGCUAAUACCGCGUACCAUAGGAUGAGCCAAAGUGGGAUUAGGUAGUUGGUGAGGUAAAGGCUUACCAAGCCGACGAUCUCUAGGUGGUCUGAGAGGGUGACCAGGCAAACUGGAACUGGGCAACGGCCCAGACCACUACGGGAGGCAGGAGUGGGGAAAUUUGCGCAAAGGGGGUAAACUGACGGAGGCCAGCCGGGGGAAAUGAGGAGGCCUUCGGGGUUGAAAAUUCUUUUCGUAGGGAAGCGUUAACUACAGAAGAAGCACCGGCUAACUCCGUGCCAGCAGCCGCGGUAAUUC
RNAcentral lists this ribosomal RNA (405 nucleotides) under uncultured bacterium. Its description in RNAcentral is "partial 16S ribosomal RNA". It matches the Rfam family "Bacterial small subunit ribosomal RNA", at positions 29 to 526 of the family's 1533-position model. The record is from RNAcentral.